This is a long non-coding RNA of Hipposideros armiger (great roundleaf bat), 2197 nucleotides long. RefSeq lists it as uncharacterized. NCBI's taxonomy places the organism in Eukaryota, Metazoa, Chordata, Mammalia, Chiroptera, Hipposideridae. The record is from RefSeq and is a predicted model, not a curated record. The transcript has 2 exons.
UUUUCUAAGCCAUCCCUAGAAUUUAGAACUUCAACUUUUGCACCAGCACCCUGGCUUUGACAUAAAUCUUUCUGAUUUUUUUUCCUUCAAGAAUUCAAGACGUUAUAUUAGAAAUACAACAAAAUAUCUUCUCUGCCAAGAUGAAUAGGUUACUCACCAUGGAAAAGAUACAAGAGAAGGCCCUAGGAUUUCUUAGCUGCUUAGAAUCUCAAGACACUCCUAAGUGGCUGAAUGCUUAAUCUUGGGAUACUACAAUAAAGCUUGGAACAUAAAAUGAGUAAGUUACCUACAGGCUUUAGGUCUCAUCCCCAAAUGGAGACAGAAUGAGGCAGGCAGAAGGAGAGGCAACAAGCAUUUUUAUUUGGGGCUAUGAAAAGAAGUUUUAAUGAGAGAAAGAGAACUUUUUAAAACAUAUACCAUCACUGCCAUCGGGGGCGGGGGGGGGGGAGAAUAGGUGGGGUGAGAUGAUCUAGCCAAAAGUUCAGCUCUGUCAAAAUGGAAAACAAAAGCAUGUGAUGACAUUAAGGUUCAGACAGCAAAGAGAACAAAUGCCAUUAGUGCCUCUGUGAAUACACAAAACUGGAAAAGAAGGUUUCAGUGACGUUUCCAUGUACCGUGUUCAUUUAUAGGGAGCAGCAACAGUGAAAGUGUCAAAAAAUAUAUCAAAACACAUGGCAAGACAAUGUGGUGUGGCUUCUAUGACUGGUCAUGCUGUUUUUGAGCCUGACUUUUUAAGCUUUUUAUUUUGAAAGAUGGUAGAUCUUAAAUGUUCUCAUCACAAAUAAAUAAACUUUUUAUUUUAAAAUAAUUAGAUUCACUGGAAAUUGCAAAUAAACGUGCGGGGGCGCGGGGGGCAGUUCUCCUGCACCCUUCACCAGCUUCCCCCAGUGUUAGCAUCUUGUGUAACUAUAAUUCAAUAUCAAACCAAGAAGUUUACAUUGGUACAAUCCAUAGAACAUACAUCUCAAGGAGUAUGUAAGAAGGAGAUUUCUUGGUGUGGGGGCCCAGACUGAUGAACUUUUGUGAAAUUUUUGCCCAGGAGAUCAGAACGUAUGUAUUAAUAGCUAGAACGGGAGUUGGAAUUGCACUUACCCACCUUCCACCAAUAUCUAUUUGUAAACAGAUGCAUUUUUUUCCAACACCUUUCUGCUUUUUUACAAAUAGCAGAAACACUUUACAAAUGACUUCUGUCUCCGGAGCCCUAUCCAUUCUAUUCUCACAGAUUUAGUAGCAGACAAACAGCUGUAGACACAGCUUGUCUUCGAGGUGGGGAAGCUACUUUGACAGGAAAUAAAGCAAGCAUCCCAUCUCAAUGCCUUGCUUCCUAAUGUACAUGAAGAGCAUUAUUGUCAUUUCAUGUGACAAUUGUGUAAAAAUAUUAAGAAGCAAAAGAUGUCUGUUGAGUAGUAUGAAAUACAAAAAAAGUCAUCUGGUACUUAACCACUGUGUUCCUACACUGGAGGAAAAACCACCCAGGUGGGACUUGGUGAGUGAUGAGGUUAGGAUCUCCAGCAGGGUGCCUCCCUGGGGGAUUUAUCAUGAGUAAUUUUGACUUAUGUGGUGUUUGCCUGAGAGCUGACUUGAGAUCACAGCUCUCCUGUAUAAUACUCACAACUUCACAUGUACCAUUCACACUUCAAGGGGCGGCUGCCCUUUCGGCCCUGGUUCUAUGUGAAACUGCUCAAGACUAAUGUCACUUGAUAAGAAUCCAGUCCUCUGUAAGUGCAAAGAAGUCCUCAUCCUAUUGCUAGAAAGGUCUGAAGAAUGCGAUCCCGUUAGGUGGACAUACCAGGUUAGUGAGCCAGAAAGCUGUAAAGUGUCCUUGUGUAACAAGGCAAAAUGGAAAUUUAAAUGGGCAGCAAAUCUCCCUGGUGCUUCACCCUCAACCUGGCCUCCUUUUCUUCUCGAGGAAAAGAGCUUGAAAAUUACACAUGUGAGCAGCCUCUUUUCAGUCUCAGAAGUUACAGCCACACUGCAUAUUAUUGUAAAUUCUAGCUGUGAACACAUACCUCACUUGCAAGUCAAUCACUUAACAGGUCUUAAUUAUGAGACCACAAAAGAAUAGCACAGUAUAGGAUAGUAAUUGGUGACCAUCUCUGAUAUUAGGAAGACUUAGGCUCAAACACUAUAGCUCUGCCAUUUAGUUAAAGCUGUACAUAUAAAAUAAAAAUAAAAUAUGCAAAAAAAACCAAAAACC